GAUGAACGCUGGCGGCGUGCCUAAUACAUGCAAGUCGAGCGAACAGACGAGGAGUUUGCUCCUCUGACGUUAGCGGCGGACGGGUGAGUAACAUGUGGAUAACCUACCUAUAAGACUGGGAUAACUUCGGGAAACCGGAGCUAAUACCGGAUAAUAUAUUGAACCGCAUGGUUCAAUAGUGAAAGACGGUUUUGCUGUCACUUAUAGAUGGAUCCGCGCCGCAUUAGCUAGUUGGUAAGGUAACGGCUUACCAAGGCAACGAUGCGUAGCCGACCUGAGAGGGUGAUCGGCCACACUGGAACUGAGACACGGUCCAGACUCCUACGGGAGGCAGCAGUAGGGAAUCUUCCGCAAUGGGCGAAAGCCUGACGGAGCAACGCCGCGUGAGUGAUGAAGGUCUUCGGAUCGUAAAACUCUGUUAUUAGGGAAGAACAAAUGUGUAAGUAACUAUGCACGUCUUGACGGUACCGAAUCAGAAAGCCACGGCUAACUACGUG
RNAcentral lists this ribosomal RNA (497 nucleotides) under uncultured bacterium. RNAcentral's name for it is "partial 16S ribosomal RNA". It matches the Rfam family "Bacterial small subunit ribosomal RNA", at positions 28 to 507 of the family's 1533-position model. The record is from RNAcentral.